Molecule: ribosomal RNA, 440 nt
Filed under: uncultured bacterium
Lineage: Bacteria
Description: partial 16S ribosomal RNA
Rfam family: Bacterial small subunit ribosomal RNA
Source: RNAcentral
CCUACGGGAGGCAGCAGUGGGGAAUAUUGCACAAUGGGGGAAACCCUGAUGCAGCGACGCCGCGUGAGUGAAGAAGUAAUUCGUUAUGUAAAGCUCUAUUAGCAGGGAAGAAAAAGACAGUACCUGUAGCAUAAGCUCCGGCUAACUACGUGCCAGCAGCCGCGGUAAUACGUAGGGAGCCAGCGUUAUCCGGAAUUAUUGGGUGUAAAGGGUGCGUAGACGGGGAAGCAAGUUAGUUGUGAAAGCCCUCGGCUUAACUGAGGAACUGCAACUAAAACUGCUUCCCUUGAGUAGUGGAGAGGAAAGUGGAAUGCGUAGUGUAGCGGUGAAAUGCGUAGAUAUUAGGAAGAACACCAGUGGCGAAGGCGACUUUCUGGACAGUAACUGACGUUGAGGCACGAAAGUGUGGGGAGCGAACAGGAUUAGAUACCCCAGUAGUC